GACGAACGCUGGCGGCGUGCUUAACACAUGCAAGUCGAACGGAAAGGCCCUGCUUUUGUGGGGUGCUCGAGUGGCGAACGGGUGAGUAACACGUGAGUAACCUGCCCUUGACUUUGGGAUAACUUCAGGAAACUGGGGCUAAUACCGGAUAGGAGCUCCUGCUGCAUGGUGGGGGUUGGAAAGUUUCGGCGGUUGGGGAUGGGCUCGCGGCUUAUCAGCUUGUUGGUGGGGUAGUGGCUUACCAAGGCUUUGACGGGUAGCCGGCCUGAGAGGGUGACUGGCCACAUUGGGACUGAGAUACGGCCCAGACUCCUACGGGAGGCAGCAGUGGGGAAUAUUGCACAAUGGGCGGAAGCCUGAUGCAGCAACGCCGCGUGCGGGAUGACGGCCUUCGGGUUGUAAACCGCUUUCGCCUGUGACGAAGCGUGAGUGACGGUAAUGGGUAAAGAAGCACCGGCUAACUACGUG
Molecule: ribosomal RNA, 468 nt
Filed under: uncultured bacterium
Lineage: Bacteria
Description: partial 16S ribosomal RNA
Rfam family: Bacterial small subunit ribosomal RNA
Source: RNAcentral